AUCUAUUUUGUGGCACCAGCCAAGUUCCUUGGAAACCAGCAGCUGAGUUAUGGGCAGACACUGUCUUUUGAUUAUCGCAUCAAUCGACCUGGACGUCGUCCUUCCCAACAUGAUGUUGUCUUGGAAGGAGCUGGCUUAAAAAUCACUACUCCGCUUAUGCCCAAUGGAAGGAUGCUGUCUUGUAGAGCCAGCCAGACCUAUACAUUCAGGCUGGAUGAGCACCCAAACAAUAACUGGAGUCCUAGGCUGAGUAGAACUGAGUAUCAUCGUUUAAUUGGGAACCUGACAGCACUUCGAAUCAGAGCUACUUAUGGAGACA
This is a long non-coding RNA of Sceloporus undulatus (fence lizard), 319 nucleotides long. RefSeq lists it as uncharacterized. Lineage: Eukaryota; Metazoa; Chordata; Lepidosauria; Squamata; Phrynosomatidae. The transcript has 3 exons. The record is from RefSeq and is a predicted model, not a curated record.